RNAcentral lists this long non-coding RNA (4090 nucleotides) under Chlamydomonas reinhardtii. RNAcentral's name for it is "long non-coding RNA (CREI_LNC000949)". Lineage: Eukaryota; Viridiplantae; Chlorophyta; Chlorophyceae; Chlamydomonadales; Chlamydomonadaceae. The record is from RNAcentral.
CUUGUAGAAGGUGAAGAUCAUGCCACCGCUGCGGGGGCAGAAAGAGAGCGGGGGCACAGGGUCAGUGCCAGUGCCAGAGCGAGGGUGGUGAGGUAUUCUGGCGCAGGACACAGCCGACUGACCAGCCAGCUUUGGGUUCGGUUCACGCGCCGCUGCACUCUCGCCUCCUCCGCGCACCCCUCCUCAUACGCGACUUGUCAGAGACAGGAAUGUGCUGAGACAGGAAUGUGCGGUACGUUGCUGCAUCCGCACUCAUAGGCCCUUCACAGGCCCCCCCCACACGCACAGACACUAACUCACCCGAUGAUGAUCUUGUCGCACUUCUCCAUCAGCGCCUCAAUGACGGUGAUCUUGGAGGACACCUUGGAGCCGCCCACAAUGGCCACGAAGGGGCGCUUGGGGUUGGACACGGCGCCAUCAAGGUAGUCCUGUAAGCGCGGGAGGCAUGGGCGGAGCACGGGUCAGAACCAGGCCGGGCAUCAGGGGGACGUCGGGGAAAUGUCGAGCACGGCCAAACGGCCGCGUGGAGCUGGAUUGCCCUCGGCAGCCAGUAUGAGAACCUUCCCCCCGAAGCUUUUUGCAACAUACACGAACAAUCGGACGCCUAAAGCUAAGCUGUCUCACCAGCUCCUUCUGCAGCAGGAAGCCGGCCACGGAGGGCUUCAGGAACUUGGUCACACCCUCGGUGGAGGCGUGGGCGCGGUGGGCAGUGCCGAACGCGUCGUUCACGUACAGGUCGGCGUUGGCGGCCAGCUGUGUGUGUUGUACGGUGGUGGGGAGGCAGGGAGAAGGGAGGGGAGGGUGGGGAGGGUGAGUCAACAAACAUGCCAGGGCGCAGGCGAUUGACGGAAGCACACGUGCGGGCAGGGGACACCCAACACCACCCACGCCACGCCCACCCCCCAGGCCGGCAAGCGCAAGCACUGCAUCAAGUUAUCAGAGUACCACUACCUCAACGUACUCAGCCAUGCCCGCCUUGCCUGAUUCUCAAAACCCACCUCCCUUUUCCCCAAUCUCCACAGUCCUCACCUUCUUGGCGAACUCGGGCUCGUUCUUCUCCUCCUCCUUGUAGAAGCGGACGUUCUCCAGCAGCAGCAGCUCGCCGUUCUUCAUGGCGCCCACCGCCUUCUCCACCUCGGGGCCGAUGCAGUCAUCGACCUUGGUCACGGGCUUGCCCAGCAGCUCCGACAGGCGGGCCACCACGGGGGUCAGGCGGUACUUGUCCUCGGGACCGCCCUUCGGGCGACCCUGUUUUUAACAUGGGCAAGAAGAGGAGGGGAAGGGUGCUCAGAGCUCAGGAGGUGAAAUAGGAGGGGGAGGAGGAGGGGGAAGCUAGGGCGGGCAGGGAGCGGAGGCAAGGCUAGCGUGUAGGGUGUGGUGUGCAAGCUAGCGAACAGACCGGGGCUGCGCCCCUUGGCAGCGACAUGUUCUGGGCCAGUGGUGGAACGAGAAACCUAUGCAUGCCGACAACACACGAUGCUAGGAGCGCCUACCGAGGGCCCUGGGUGCGCCGAGCACAGCACAAUCUCUUACCAGGUGCGAGGUCAGCAGGACCUUAGCACCGUUGUCCAGCAGGUACUUCAGGGUGGGGACGGCCGCGCGAAUGCGGGUGUCGUCGGUGAUGGCCAGGGUGGCCUUGUCAAGAGGCACGUUCAGGUCCGCGCGGACGAACACGCGCUUGCCUGCGAGCGAAGCAUGGAGGUAGAGCGAGUCAGGUUUAGCGCGACCCCGGGCCUGAUCGGGACCAGGCUAGGCGACCCAGAGUCAUCUAAGCGCUCAAAAGUAUCAGCAGAGCGGUGUCGGCAGGCUCAGCGACCGCGGGCGAGGCUUCGCUCGCCGAUGAUCCAGUCGACCGAACGCGAUAAAAAGCCCCCUUCUGCCACCUGGCCAGUGAGCUCACCCUCCAGGUCAGCCUUGUGCAGGUCGCCAACCGACUUCUUCACCUACAGGGCACAGCACGUAGGGAGAAGUCAGCAACCGGGCCCAUGGGGCUGGAACUCCGCGACCCAUCGAAAGCGCGACUUACCGCCUCGACGACGAUGCGAGAGCGGCCCACGCGGCGGAUGUCCACAGACACCUCAGCGGCGAAGCCAGAGCGCAGCACGGAGCUGGAGGCCGACGAGAAGGGCACCACGCGGGGGGCCACAGCGGCGACGCGGCGACCGGACACCACGCGCGCGUUGGCGCGCAUCUUCAUAGAGAGGGCCAUGAUUGUAAGUGGGUUGUUCGGACUGAAGGGUCAGACAACUUUGGCAAAGCGGAAGCAGAAGCUUUUGACUGGAAACGCGCUCCUCAUCCGCGAUGAGGUGUACGGCCUUGCAGCGAGCGGUCCUCUGCGUUUGGCGCGCUGCAUGCACCAAUGCAGACGGCGCGAAUUAGUCUUGAUAUCAGGCGUUAAAUCUAUCUGAAUGCAUAAAGCGGGAAGUGGAAAUGAGCCAUAACGGCUACAAGCGAAGCCGGAUGCAAAGUACCGAAGGCAACUUGAAUGCCCCAAAGCGAAGCUGAAACAUGCUAUCAUGCACAUUAAGUAUACAAUUUUGUAUCUCUGGAAGCAGACUGGCGUUUCUGCUGUCAGCAAGAAGCAGUCUUGCCAGAGGUUCGUCACGCUCAAAGGCCAGGUUGGCUUGGGGCAAAAGAAGUUGUAUCGCACGUCCUACCAGUCUUGUUGGCAUCGAGAGGGCGCUGUCCGGGGUCCACUCGGCUACUGCCGCGACCGCGGUCCGCGGGUCCUGAACUUUGGCCCGCCGUCGCCCCAGGACCUUGCCCAGGAUCAGGGUUGCUGCCUCAUUGCCUCAGGAGCCCCGGGGCAAGCGUCAUAACCCAAGCUCAAGACAUAGUGCAAAUUCAGGGGCAGGCCCACCAGCGAAAGAGGGCACGCGGGUUUCCCCGACUAGCCUGACAGAUCAGGGGAGGUCGAUCAGCGAAGUGCUUGCUAGUGAAUGCGAAUGCAAGACGCCGUCGCGAGCUCCAGGCUAGCAAUAAAGUGUCAGCGGCAAUGCGGUUACUUGUUACCUUCGAGACGAGACACCGGUGCGCGCUCCACGCUGCUCCGCAUUCGGCACGCCAAACGGAGUCCGAGUGUCGUGGAGACUGCUGCCGCUUGCAGGGGCGGACGUGUUCCAGCUCGCAACUAGGCUGCUGCCAUUCGCCGUGACAACGCGAAACCCACAAAAUGCACCCACCUGGAACGGAGCCAGGUCGAUGUGUGUUCAGUCCGAACUUGGAUCCGGUCGGGUCCCUCGCACUGGCACAGUUCCGUACAUCAGCAGCCACACGAGAAGCUUUGGGCCUUGAUUGUAUCCUUGCACACGCUGGUAUGGGAUGGAAGUAAGGAGAGGGAUGCGGGAGGCAACAUCCGGUGGGGGAACGUGGAAAGCACCCAAGGAUCUGCAUGCCUACAUGCACUGGCUUGCAGCGCGCAUACACCCGCCUACGGUAGUCAGCAAGGAAAGCGCGGCUAUGUGCCAUGUGCCGUGUGUUGUGUGAGGAGUCCUGCGGAACGGCGGCCUGUCAGCAAUGCCACCAAGCGCGCCAGGGCUGUCCGGGGGCAAUCGGGGUGGAUGAGGGCGAGGCGAGGCGGGAACUUACCUGUCCACGGCAAUGUUCAUGAAUACUGCUCAGUGCUCGUAUCUUCCAUCUACACUGUAGAAAUCUGCCCAAAAUCCGCCGAAGGCGGAGAAAAAAUUUUGGGUUUGGGUGCCACGCAUCUACGCAGUGUAGACGGUUUUGGCCGGCUUUGGUGCAAAAAUGGGGGAAGCGUAGACGUUUUGGGGGGCUUGGGGGCUUAAGUGUAGAUGCCGCGGUCAGGGUCAUCUACGCAUGUGUAGAUGUCGGGUGCCUGAGGGCGUCUACAAGAUACGAGCACUGAUACUGCUGGAUAUUGUCGUGUUGCACACACUGCUCCUGGGGCCCUGGGCCUGAGGGCUAGGCCUUCGCGGUGGCUUGGCUGGAGAGACAGUCAGAGGCCCGAACUGCGGGUUGGAGGGGGGUGGAGCGGGUUGGGGCUGGACCACCACGGGGCUAGACCACGGGACUGGGCCCGAUUGGACUGGUCACUGGUACCGAAGAAAGAAAGGCUGUGACGGAGGUG